Molecule: long non-coding RNA, 231 nt
Organism: Triticum dicoccoides
Lineage: Eukaryota; Viridiplantae; Streptophyta; Magnoliopsida; Poales; Poaceae
Exons: 3
Source: RefSeq, a predicted model, not a curated record
CUGCAGUCUGCACGCCCCCCGCUCACCCCGCCGGCCAGGCGAAUCGGCUUCCUGCGUCCAGCACUUGUAACUUGUUCGCGACGUGCACUUCUCUCCCGCGUCGAUGAAGAUUUGGCCAGUGGUUGGCGUGGGGCCAGUGGCCGACGUCGUCCUCUCCGCCCUCAUCCUCAUCUUGGCCGCUGCCGUCAUCUUCGGCAUCAUCACGGGGCUCGCGUUCUGCGUAGUUUUCUG